GAUGAACGCUGGCGGCGUGCCUAAUACAUGCAAGUCGAGCGAACAGACGAGGAGCUUGCUCCUCUGACGUUAGCGGCGGACGGGUGAGUAACACGUGGAUAACCUACCUAUAAGACUGGGAUAACUUCGGGAAACCGGAGCUAAUACCGGAUAAUAUAUUGAACCGCAUGGUUCAAUAGUGAAAGACGGUUUUGCUGUCACUUAUAGAUGGAUCCGCGCCGCAUUAGCUAGUUGGUAAGGUAACGGCUUACCAAGGCGACGAUGCGUAGCCGACCUGAGAGGGUGAUAGGCCACACGGGAACUGAGACACGGUCCAGACUCCUACGGGAGGCAGCAGUAGGGAAUCUUCCGCAAUGGGCGAAAGCCUGACGGAGCAACGCCGCGUGAGUGAUGAAGGUCUUCGGAGCGUAAAACUCUGUUAUGAGGGAAGAACAAAUGUGUAAGUAACUAUGCACGUCUUGACGGUACCUAAUCAGAAAGCCACGGCUAACUACGUG
RNAcentral lists this ribosomal RNA (497 nucleotides) under uncultured bacterium. RNAcentral's name for it is "partial 16S ribosomal RNA". It matches the Rfam family "Bacterial small subunit ribosomal RNA", at positions 28 to 507 of the family's 1533-position model. The record is from RNAcentral.